UUCCGGUUGAUCCCGCCGGACCCGACUGCUAUCAGAGUGGGACUAAGCCAUGCGAGUUAACGUAGCAAUACGUAGCAUACGGCUCAGUAACACGUAGUCAACAUGCCCAGGGGACGUGGAUAACCUCGGGAAACUGAGGAUAAACCGCGAUAGGCCAUGAUUUCUGGAAUGAUUCAUGGCCGAAACCUACAUGGCCCCUGGAUUGGACUGCGGCCGAUCAGGCUGUUGGUGAGGUAAUGGCCCACCAAACCUGUUACCGGUACGGGCUCUGAGAGGAGGAGCCCGGAGAUGGGCACUGAGACAAGGGCCCAGGCCCUAUGGGGCGCAGCAGGCGCGAAACCCUCUGCAUAGGCUAAAGCCUGA
RNAcentral lists this ribosomal RNA (363 nucleotides) under uncultured archaeon. Its description in RNAcentral is "bacterial SSU rRNA". It matches the Rfam family "Archaeal small subunit ribosomal RNA", at positions 1 to 370 of the family's 1478-position model. The record is from RNAcentral.